RNAcentral lists this ribosomal RNA (429 nucleotides) under Gemmatimonadota bacterium. Its description in RNAcentral is "Gemmatimonadetes bacterium partial 16S ribosomal RNA". It matches the Rfam family "Bacterial small subunit ribosomal RNA", at positions 355 to 776 of the family's 1533-position model. The record is from RNAcentral. Lineage: Bacteria; Pseudomonadati; Gemmatimonadota.
UAGGGAAUCUUCGGCAAUGGACGAAAGUCUGACCGAGCAACGCCGCGAGAGUGAAGAAGGUUUUCGGAUCGUAAAACUCUGUUGUUAGAGAAGAACAAGGACGUUAGUAACUGAACGUCCCCUGACGGUAUCUAACCAGAAAGCCACGGCUAACUACGUGCCAGCAGCCGCGGUAAUACGUAGGUGGCAAGCGUUGUCCGGAUUUAUUGGGCGUAAAGCGAGCGCAGGCGGUUUCUUAAGUCUGAUGUGAAAGACCCCGGCUCAACCGGGGAGGGUCAUUGGAAACUGGGAUACUUGAGUGCAGAAGAGGAGAGUGGAAUUCCAUGUGUAGCGGUGAAAUGCGUAGAUAUAUGGAGGAACACCAGUGGCGACGGCGGCUCUCUAGUCUGUAACUGACGCUUAGGCUCGAAAGCGUGGGGAGCAAACAGG